Melanotaenia boesemani (Boeseman's rainbowfish) is the source of this 461-nucleotide long non-coding RNA. RefSeq lists it as uncharacterized. The transcript is spliced from 3 exons. Lineage: Eukaryota; Metazoa; Chordata; Actinopteri; Atheriniformes; Melanotaeniidae. The record is from RefSeq and is a predicted model, not a curated record.
UUGUUUAUAUUUGAAUGUCAAACUAUUUCAAAAGCUAAUAAAAAAAAGUAAAUAAAAAGUAUUUUAAUCAGGCACACAGAGGGCACCUCACAUGUAGGGUCCUACUGAAAGGGCCUUAGAGCGAGGACACCGAAGCGGGAAGAUCAAAGCGCGAUGUUGCCACUGGUAAUAGAAUGGACUCUAACAAUCAGCCCUACAAAAGGCUCGUCAUAGAGGGCUCAGAACAGCUGGCUCCCGACCAGCCCAGGCCUCCAGGUAGUGGACCUGCUUAUGGACUAGCAGACAUGUCCCAGUCACGAGCAGAUGGACCAAAACAGCCAUAUCUAAAGGUUUACCCUUGGACUGUGUACAACGGCAGGAGAUGGGGCUUCAACUACAUGAUUCUCCAUUCAUGAGUGGUUGGAGUAUAAUAAUUUCCAUGUUUACUGCUUGUUGGUCACGCAGAUCCCUGAGUGAGUGAG